This 242-nucleotide long non-coding RNA is filed under the name Lynx pardinus (Iberian lynx). The record is from RNAcentral. Lineage: Eukaryota; Metazoa; Chordata; Mammalia; Carnivora; Felidae.
UGUCCAGGUGGACGCUGCAGUUUUUGCCCCAGGCAUAAAGUAGCCAGAAGUACAAAAACUUCCUGUUUGCAGCCCAGAUCUCCUCCAGCUACUGAGAAGUUGCUCCAGUGAUGGAGCCCCAGAGGAAUUUGUGGAUUUCUCUCCCACAAGUGUCCAGGGGCAGGGGUGCUGAGAGAAUGUGGAGUUCACAGAGGGGGUGAGAAUGGCAGUCAUAACAGAUGAACCAGACUAAAAAGAAAAAA